GGGCCUCUGGCCGUCGUUCACAGCCGGAGCUCACCGGAGAUACCCUUUGCUGCUCCCCACCCAUCCAGCCCCACUACAACAAAAAACCCCGUGUAGCAACGCAUGUUUAGCAAUGAAGAUAGCAUUGAUGUGUUGUUUGGUUGAAUAUCCCACAUUCCCCACUUAGCGCUAACCUCCCCGUACCCUCUUCUGUCUCGUCGCUCGCGCACGAAGUCUAUUAUCCCUUCGUUUUGGCCUUUAUCUUUAAAAAAAAUCCUAAACGAGAGACACACUGCAUCGGCCUCCACCCCCUUCCCUCACCGCCGCCGUCCCCUUGCCCCGCCUCCCCCUGUUCCUUCGCCGAGCCCCCCUCCCUUGCCACUUUCUCCACGCGUUGGGGCUGCACACUGCGUCUUCGCCAUCAUCCUCGCGUCGGGGACGCGCAUGGCGUCGUUGCCAUCCUCCUCGCGUUGGGGAAGGUGCCGCCGCCGCCGUUCCUCCGCGCGACCUGAGAUGCCGAGGCCGCCGUUCUUCCUCUGCACAGCCAGGGACGACGCAAGCACCGACGCCCCCGUCCUCAACUGCAUCAGUUCAGUAGAGAGAUUUCCAGGUGUAGUGAUAUGAGUACUGCUACAUGAGGGGAAAAGACCCUGCAAGACAAUGCAGUGAAAUAAAUGCAGGAUUCUUCUACUCAAACACUGAACAAGGAGAAAAUUAAAGAUGGUUUCUUCCGAGAGACGUCAAGUUGAUGAACAUGUCAGUAAGAUCAUUGAAAUGAAAAAUAAUGUAUUUUGCUUAGUGUGUCCCUUGCUCUCUCUCUCUCUCUCUCUCUCUCUCUCUCUCUCUCUCUCUGAAAAGAUUGUGCUUGCGCGUUUCAAUGACAUGCAGUUUCUCUCAGGAAGUUACAAUAUUUUUGUGGUGAUCAACCAGAAAACCAUUGGUCCUCCAUCCAUCGAUCUCCUAGCUAAACUAGGGGUAACAAAAUCUGACUUGUUACUACAUGAAUGUUCUAUUUCACUUACAUUUAACCCUGUGAGCUGUUUGGGGUUCCAGUUUAGUUCAGAAUGUGGGUCAUGAUGUCACCAGCUGAACUUGGAACAUGAAAGUUGUUUGACCUUAUACAUAAUGCUACUCUAUAAGUCAUGAAACAGCCAGAGUUUAAGACAAAACCCAUGUAGAAACCAGACUUCCUAUGGUGGUUCAGUCUGGCAGGCUCAUCUUUCCCAGCUGCCAAUGAAUUAUUAUUUUUAUAUAUAAUUAGGGUACACUUGUCUAUACUACUUAGAUCCUGCAUCCCUUCAAGGUCAAGUCGGGGCUCCGGGUUGGCGUCAUGAUGAGCAGAAGUGGAUUAGAUAGUUCGUAGUUUUCUUGCACUCCCCCCUCCCCCUGUUUCUUAGUUCAUUAUGCAUGUAUUCUUCAUCCAGCUGUCCCAAAUCUGGUGAUGGUUUUUUUUUUCUCGUGUUGUUGCUUCUGCAGGUUCUGAGAACUUUAUUCAUGGAUCAAGAAAUUCUAAUCUGGACUUGGUAAAUCUCAGUAAUUACGAUCUCUUGUGUGACGUAGAAUAUUUGAAGAUUUUCAAGUUGUUGCACUGAGAUUUCUCCUAAUACAACAAAACACGCAUGACUAAUAGAUCAUCCCAAGCAAGAGUAGUACGGGAGCAAUCUAACGCAAAGCUAGCUAGUGUAGAGACCUCUCGAAAAUGGAAAUGUUCAAUUCAGUAUAUUCAGAAUUAUUAGUUAGCUACUUGUCAUUUAGUUGCUAAAUUCAUCUCAUUUUUCAUAUAAUAUAAUUUUUAGUAGUAUAUGCAAGCUGAUGGUUGUUCACAACGAACAGCCACAUCUGAUUGGUCAAAGGUGCUCUGUGUAUUAAUAUGCAGCUUCUAAUGAGACAUCGAUAUUCAGAACAUGUGCAAGGCAAUUAAGAUAAAUAGAAUGCCCUCAGUUUACAAAGAA
Molecule: long non-coding RNA, 1931 nt
Organism: Triticum aestivum (bread wheat)
Lineage: Eukaryota; Viridiplantae; Streptophyta; Magnoliopsida; Poales; Poaceae
Exons: 3
Source: RefSeq, a predicted model, not a curated record